UCCUACGGGAGGCAGCAGUGGGGAAUAUUGGACAAUGGGCGAAAGCCUGAUCCAGCCAUGCCGCGUGUGUGAAGAAGGUCUUCGGAUUGUAAAGCACUUUAAGUUGGGAGGAAGGGUUGUAGAUUAAUACUCUGCAAUUUUGACGUUACCGACAGAAUAAGCACCGGCUAACUCUGUGCCAGCAGCCGCGGUAAUACAGAGGGUGCAAGCGUUAAUCGGAAUUACUGGGCGUAAAGCGCGCGUAGGUGGUUUGUUAAGUUGGAUGUGAAAUCCCCGGGCUCAACCUGGGAACUGCAUUCAAAACUGACUGACUAGAGUGUGGUAGAGGGUGGUGGAAUUUCCUGUGUAGCGGUGAAAUGCGUAGAUAUAGGAAGGAACACCAGUGGCGAAGGCGACCACCUGGACCAACACUGACACUGAGGUGCGAAA
Molecule: ribosomal RNA, 429 nt
Filed under: uncultured bacterium
Lineage: Bacteria
Description: bacterial SSU rRNA
Rfam family: Bacterial small subunit ribosomal RNA
Source: RNAcentral